CCUACGGGUGGCAGCAGUGAGGAAUAUUGGUCAAUGGGCGAGAGCCUGAACCAGCCAAGUCGCGUGAGGGAGUACUGCCCUAUGGGUUGUAAACCUCUUUUGUCGGGGAGCAAAAGCCGGACGUGUCCGGCUGUGAGAGUACCCGAAGAAAAAGCAUCGGCUAACUCCGUGCCAGCAGCCGCGGUAAUACGGAGGAUGCGAGCGUUAUCCGGAUUUAUUGGGUUUAAAGGGUGCGUAGGCGGGCUUUUAAGUCAGCGGUAAAAAUUCGGGGCUCAACCCCGUCCGGCCGUUGAAACUGGGGGCCUUGAGUGGGCGAGAAGAAGGCGGAAUGCGUGGUGUAGCGGUGAAAUGCAUAGAUAUCACGCAGAACCCCGAUUGCGAAGGCAGCCUUCCGGCGCCCUACUGACGCUGAGGCACGAAAGUGCGGGGAUCGAACAGGAUUAGAUACCCGGGUAGUC
Molecule: ribosomal RNA, 458 nt
Filed under: uncultured bacterium
Lineage: Bacteria
Description: partial 16S ribosomal RNA
Rfam family: Bacterial small subunit ribosomal RNA
Source: RNAcentral